RNAcentral lists this ribosomal RNA (256 nucleotides) under uncultured bacterium. RNAcentral's name for it is "partial 16S ribosomal RNA". It matches the Rfam family "Bacterial small subunit ribosomal RNA", at positions 524 to 776 of the family's 1533-position model. The record is from RNAcentral.
UACGUAGGGUGCAAGCGUUGCUCGGAAUCACUGGGCGUAAAGCGUGAGUAGGUGGACUUUUGGUAAGUCAGGUGUGAAAGCCUUGGGCCUAACCCAAGAAGUGCACUUGAUACUGCCAGUCUAGAGUUCGGGAGAGGGAAGCAGAAUUCCAGGUGUAGGGGUGAAAUCCGUAGAUAUCUGGAGGAAUACCAGUGGCGCAAGCGGCUUCCUGGACCGAUACUGACACUGAGUCACGAAAGCGUGGGGAGCAAACAGG